Pleuronectes platessa (European plaice) is the source of this 686-nucleotide long non-coding RNA. RefSeq lists it as uncharacterized. Lineage: Eukaryota; Metazoa; Chordata; Actinopteri; Pleuronectiformes; Pleuronectidae. The transcript is spliced from 3 exons. The record is from RefSeq and is a predicted model, not a curated record.
GUAUACAAACAAACUUUUUCCGAUGAUGUCCAUUUGAUGAAAUAUCAUGUGGUGCGACCAUCAAGAAACAACCAAUUUGGGACUUUUAUGCUGAAAUCCAUUCAAAGACAGGAAGUUGCAUCAUACACCAUUUUGCCAAGGACCCAUGGAAGAAAGAACAGAUGCCACUUCCAAGCAAAAUAAAAACCGCUCGCCAUAGGCAGCGUGUUAAUUCUGACCCUGCAGCAAGAGCGAAGUACCUUGCUCGGAGAAGAGAAAGCUACCAGAGGAGAAAACAGCAGGGAAGAUUCAAUAUGCUAAGUCAAGUGAGCUGACAGAGAGAGAGAAAAAGAAACAGAGAGAGAAAUGGAGAGCUUCCUCAAGUGCGUAGAGGGAAAGGAAAAAUAUGGCAAAUGCUUUGCUAGAAAUUACGCCGCCAUCAAUGGAGAACAUUCCACAAGAUCUGGUUGAUGUGAUUGUAACCUAUGAUGAGCCUCCAUAUGUAGGCCAGGUCCUUGAAGUUGUGGAAGAGGAAGUCCAAGAUUGGGCAAAGUUCAAAAAGGUCUGGGAUUAAAGUAAUGCCUGCGACUUAAACCAAGUGCACCACAUUUACAGGUAAAGUUUAAUGAAAUGUUUGUUCACAGCUAUGUGUGUUGCACUUCAAUGUUUGUGAGUUUUUGUUUAUUAAAAAUGUAUAUAUAAUGUUU